Molecule: long non-coding RNA, 2100 nt
Organism: Leopardus geoffroyi (Geoffroy's cat)
Lineage: Eukaryota; Metazoa; Chordata; Mammalia; Carnivora; Felidae
Exons: 2
Source: RefSeq, a predicted model, not a curated record
AUCUGUUGUUUUAUAAAGUAGUUUUAUUUAUUCCAGUUAAUAUUUAAAAAAAAAAAACCUAACCUAAAAUCAGUAAACUUGGAACAAUCAACAGAAAGCUUUAUAAAGCCAGUAGAGAUUUGUGCUGCUGUUAAUGUUCUUUAAGAAGUUAAAUCAUAGGCUACAUUCAUUCCCCAGACUUUCUGGUUAUAUAAGCCUUUAAAAAAAAUAAUGUUACUAAAUACUUUACGAGAUUUUUACCCCUUAUCUCCUCCCACCACCGUAUUUAUUAAGAAAAUAGUUUGUUUAUAUGUUAGUAUGUUGCCCACUCACGUGUCUAGACUUUUUUUCUUUUAAAAGAAAAUAAAGUUUCCUUUCUGACAAGAGGCCUUAGAGACUAGCUUAUGAAGAGAAAUUUUCCAGAUCUGCAUUUCUUAUUUGUGAGGUUUGAGCAAAAUCUGUGACAUUCAAAUCUCUUAACGGUGUUGCUAAUGAAUGCUUAAUGUAAGAUGAGCAAUUGGUUCAACAUCUAUAUUUAUAAAAAUGAUUUCCACAUUAAGACAUACCAGUGUAUCUUAUUGAGAGAUUUAUCAGGAUUGUAAGAAAUACAUUUUUAGUUGUCUAUACCCGAUAGCUUAGAAACUGACUUUCUAUUGUUAUGUCAUCAGUGACACAUAAACACUACACCUACCAUUUAUUGAGCAUUUACUGCAUUGCUGUGUACUACUUUAAAUGUAUCUACCAUAAUCUUCUCAGCACUCCUAUGAAGUUAGUAUAUAGCCCAUUAAGAUUAUGAAAUCUGACCCAAAUCACAUAGUUGUUAAGUGGUAGGGGCACACCAAUAUUCAGAUGUGAAUCUGUUUGACUCUAAGGUCCAUGCUCUUAACCCCUAUGUUGCUACUAUGUAAUACUGCCUCCGUAUACCUGCUCCUGGUAGUAAAUUUAAGAAGGAUCUUCCUUUAUUGUAAUAUACUUCAUACUUGUAAUCAAUUGUUCCGUGUUUUUCUUCCGCUAGACUAUAAAUUCUUAUGUUUUCAGUCUCCAUCCUCUACUGUUUGAGCCCUCUUCUCCCUCUCCACACCCCCAUGAUAGAAUCUUUCUCUCUGUACUUAAUUGUCUCUUGUACUUACCUAUCUUCACCUCUAAAUAGAUAAGACCAGGAACUCCAUGUGGGGAGGAGGUAUAUUGUUCUCAUUUUUCUAUCUCUAGUACCUGCCCAGCUCAAGUUCUAGUACAUAGUAAGUGCUUAAUAAGGUGAAAUUCCUGUAAUUCCAGUGACAAGAUAUAUCUGUUGUUAAUGUAUUAUUUUCUUUAAUCUCUUCUUCAUAUAAAUUUGGUAUCCUGUUUUACAGUUUUGUCUUUUUUUUUUUUUACUUUGAGCAUUUUCCCAGAUUAUUAUAUUCUUCUAAAACAUUGGUUUUAAAGCCUUCAUGUGGUAUCAUAAUACCUCCCCUUUAAACAAAAAUAAUGGAGUUCACAUGAAAAAAUAAGAAUAGCAGAGAAAAUAAGAAUGCAGGCAGAUUUGUUAUUCUAGUUACUAACAGGUAUUACAGAAUUAUAUAUGGCACCAUUCCAGGAAUAUAUCAGUGAAAUAGGGUAGAAAUUCUAGAAACAGACUGAAGUGUAUGUGAAAAAACUUACUAGUUAAUAAAAGUAGCAUUUGACAUUAAUGGGAAAAGAUUGGAUUUUUCAUUGGAGCAAUUAUAGAAUGACUAGUUAACCAUUUAGAAAUAAAGCUUAAUAUCUAUCAUCUUAAACCACUGGGAAUGAAACCUGGCUAUAAGUAGUCAUUGCAGAAGUAGAUGUGGAAGCAUUUAUGAAAUCCAGGGAGAGGGGCAAGAAUUGACUUUGAGAGCUACUUAACCAGGAUAAAGCCAAAGAUUGUUUUUCCCUUUUUAGAAUCAGCAAGGAAGUAAAAUUCUCUGGAGUGAAAGAAAGGAAUCUAGGAGGCUAGAAUAAAAAUUUAUUCUUAAGAAUAGACGAUAGAAACCCUGAAAGUGACUUGGCCUAUUUUGAAAUAAUAAAAGUAGCAUUGAAUAAUCUGGAAAAUGUAAGAAGGUACAAGUUAUUAAAGGAAGAAGAGGUUGUAGCCAUUAAAAGUCAUAAAGUAAUUAUUUUUUU